ACCCCGGGAGGGGAGUGAAAUAGAUCCUGAAACCGCAUGCUUACAAAAAGUAGGAGCCUCGAAAGGGGUGACUGCGUACCUUUUGUAUAAUGGGUCAGCGACUUACAUUCAGUGGCAAGGUUAACCGAAUAGGGAAGCCGUAGAGAAAUCGAGUCCGAAUAGGGCGAAUUAGUCGCUGGGUGUAGACCCGAAACCAAGUGAUCUAUCCAUGGCCAGGAUGAAGGUGCCGUAACAGGUACUGGAGGUCCGAACCGACUAAUGUUGCAAAAUUAGCGGAUGAGCUGUGGAUAGGGGUGAAAGGCUAAACAAACUUGGAAAUAGCUGGUUCUCUCCGAAAACUAUUUAGGUAGUGCCUCAAGUAUUACCAUCGGGGGUAGAGCACUGUUUUGGCUAGGGGGUCAUGGCGACUUACCAAACCAAGGCAAACUCCGAAUACCGAUGAGUACAGCUUGGGAGACAGAGCACCGGGUGCUAACGUCCGGACUCAAGAGGGAAACAACCCAGACCGCCAGCUAAGGUCCCUAAAAUUGGCUAAGUGGGAAACGAAGUGGGAAGGCUAAAACAGUCAGGAUGUUGGCUUAGAAGCAGCCAUCAUUUAAAGAAAGCGUAAUAGCUCACUGAUCGAGUCGUCCUGCGCGGAAGAUGUAACGGGGCUAAGCCAGUUACCGAAGCUGCGGAUUUGCAAUUUAUUGCAAGUGGUAGGAGAGCGUUCUGUAAGCCUGUGAAGGUGGCGGUGUAAACCCUGCUGGAGGUAUCAGAAGUGCGAAUGCUGACAUGAGUAGCGUUAAAGGGGGUGAAAAGCCCCCUCGCCGUAAGCGCAAGGUUUUCUACGCAACGUUCAUCGGCGUAGAGUGAGUCGGCCCCUAAGGCGAGGCAGAGAUGCGUAGCUGAUGGGAAACAGGUCAAUAUUCCUGUACCGAUGUGUAGUGCGAUGUGGGGACGGAGAAGGUUAGCUCAGCCAACUGUUGGAUAUGUUGGUUCAAGCCUGUAGUCGUGCCUGGUAGGUAAAUCCGCCGGGCUUAGAUGAGGGGUGAUAACGAGUCUGCUUGCAGACGAAGUGAGUGAUACCCUGCUUCCAGGAAAAGCCACUAAGCUUCAGCUACACACGACCGUACCGCAAACCGACACUGGUGCGCGAGAUGAGUAUUCUAAGGCGCUUGAGAGAACUCAGGAGAAGGAACUCGGCAAAUUGACACCGUAACUUCGGAAGAAGGUGUGCCCUGUUAGGGUGAAGGGACUUGCUCCCGGAGCUCGAGAGGGUUUCAGAGAAUCGGUGGCUGCGACUGUUUAUUAAAAACAUAGCACUGUGCUAACACGAAGAGUGGACGUAUACGGUGUGACGCCUGCCCGGUGCUGGAAGGUUAAAUGAUGGGGUGCAAGCUCUUGAUUGAAGCCCCAGUAAACGGCGGCCGUAACUAUAACGGUCCUAAGGUAGCGAAAUUCCUUGUCGGGUAAGUUCCGACCUGCACGAAUGGCGUAACGAUGGCCACACUGUCUCCUCCUGAGACUCAGCGAAGUUGACAUGGUUGUGAUGAUGCAAUCUACCCGCGGCUAGACGGAAAGACCCCGUGCACCUUUACUGCAGCUUUGCAUUGGACUGUGAUGGAAUUUGUGUAGGAUAGCUGGGAGGCUAUGAAGAGUAGACGCUAGUUUGCUUGGAGCCAUCCUUGAAAUACCAGCCUGAUUGUAUUGCGGUUCUAACCUAGGUCCCUUAUCGGGAUCGGGGACCAUGCAUGGUAGGCAGUUUGACUGGGGCGGUCUCCUCCCAAAGAGUAACGGAGGAGUUCGAAGGUUCGCUAGGUACGGUCGGACAUCGUACUGAUAGUGCAUUGGCAUAAGCGAGCUUGACUGCGAGACUGACGGGUCGAGCAGGUGCGAAAGCAGGACAAAGUGAUCCGGUGGUUCUGAAUGGAAGGGCCAUCGCUCAACGGAUAAAAGGUACGCCGGGGAUAACAGGCUGAUCUCCCCCAAGAGUUCAUAUCGACGGGGAGGUUUGGCACCUCGAUGUCGGCUCAUCACAUCCUGGGGCUGUAGCCGGUCCCAAGG
RNAcentral lists this ribosomal RNA (2046 nucleotides) under seawater metagenome. Its description in RNAcentral is "bacterial LSU rRNA". It matches the Rfam family "Bacterial large subunit ribosomal RNA", at positions 523 to 2570 of the family's 2925-position model. The record is from RNAcentral.